UGGGGAAUCUUGGACAAUGGGCGAAAGCCUGAUCCAGCCAUGCCGCGUGAGUGAUGAAGGCCUUAGGGUUGUAAAGCUCUUUCGACGGGGACGAUAAUGACGGUACCCGUAGAAGAAGCCCCGGCUAACUUCGUGCCAGCAGCCGCGGUAAUACGAAGGGGGCUAGCGUUGUUCGGAAUUACUGGGCGUAAAGCGCACGUAGGCGGACAUUUAAGUUGGAGGUGAAAGCCUUGGGCUCAACCCAAGAAUUGCCUUUGAUACUGGAUGUCUCGAGACCGGGAGAGGUGAGUGGAAUUCCGAGUGUAGAGGUGAAAUUCGUAGAUAUUCGGAAGAACACCAGUGGCGAAGGCGGCUCACUGGCCCGGUUCUGACGCUGAGGUGCGAAAGCGUGGGGAGCAAACAG
RNAcentral lists this ribosomal RNA (403 nucleotides) under uncultured bacterium. RNAcentral describes it as "bacterial SSU rRNA". It matches the Rfam family "Bacterial small subunit ribosomal RNA", at positions 355 to 775 of the family's 1533-position model. The record is from RNAcentral.